CACUGUGCAACAUGGUUUCACCUCCUAGCAGACUUUAGAAAUGGAACUGCUUGGUCAUGUGUUUCCUUACUGAAAGAUAGUAGACUUUUGAGAUGUAGCUGGAUUUGGGGCUGAAAUUCAGAAUGGAUGAAACAAAAACCUUCACUCAUUUGACUUGGGGAGAGAAGAUGCAGACAUGGAAAAUGACCAUACAUAGCAACCAUUAUGAGCAGAAUAGGAAGCUGGAGAGAUUCAUGUGGCCCU
RNAcentral lists this long non-coding RNA (243 nucleotides) under Fukomys damarensis (Damara mole-rat). RNAcentral describes it as "lncRNA (ENSFDAG00000030382.1)". The record is from RNAcentral. Lineage: Eukaryota; Metazoa; Chordata; Mammalia; Rodentia; Bathyergidae.